UGAGGAAUAUUGGUCAAUGGGCGCGAGCCUGAACCAGCCAAGUAGCGUGAAGGAUGAAGGUCCUACGGAUUGUAAACUUCUUUUAUGAGGGAAUAAAGUCACCCACGUGUGGGUGUUUGUAUGUACCUUAUGAAUAAGCAUCGGCUAACUCCGUGCCAGCAGCCGCGGUAAUACGGAGGAUGCGAGCGUUAUCCGGAUUUAUUGGGUUUAAAGGGAGCGUAGACGGGUCGUUAAGUCAGCUGUGAAAGUUUGAGGCUCAACCGUAAAAUUGCAGUUGAUACUGGAUAUCUUGAGUGCAGUUGAGGCAGGCGGAAUUCGUGGUGUAGCGGUGAAAUGCUUAGAUAUCACGAAGAACUCCGAUUGCGAAGGCAGCCUGCUAAGCUGCAACUGACAUUGAGGCUCGAAAGUGUGGGUAUCAAACAGGAUUAGAUACCCUGGUAGUCCACACGGUAAACGAUGAAUACUCGCUGUUUGCGAUAUACUGCAAGCGGCCAAGCGAAAGCGUUAAGUAUUCCACCUGGGGAGUACGCCGGCAACGGUGAAACUCAAAGGAAUUGACGGGGGCCCGCACAAGCGGAGGAACAUGUGGUUUAAUUCGAUGAUACGCGAGGAACCUUACCCGGGCUUAAAUUGCAGAUGAAUUACGGUGAAAGCCGUAAGCCGCAAGGCAUCUGUGAAGGUGCUGCAUGGUUGUCGUCAGCUCGUGCCGUGAGGUGUCGGCUUAAGUGCCAUAACGAGCGCAACCCUUGUUGUCAGUUACUAACAGGUUUUGCUGAGGACUCUGACAAGACUGCCAUCGUAAGAUGUGAGGAAGGUGGGGAUGACGUCAAAUCAGCACGGCCCUUACGUCCGGGGCUACACACGUGUUACAAUGGGGGGUACAGAGGGCCGCUACCACGCGAGUGGAUGCCAAUCCCCAAAACCUCUCUCAGUUCGGACUGGAGUCUGCAACCCGACUCCACGAAGCUGGAUUCGCUAGUAAUCGCGCAUCAGCCACGGCGCGGUGAAUACGUUCCC
This 1017-nucleotide ribosomal RNA is filed under the name uncultured bacterium. Its description in RNAcentral is "bacterial SSU rRNA". It matches the Rfam family "Bacterial small subunit ribosomal RNA", at positions 355 to 1375 of the family's 1533-position model. The record is from RNAcentral.